RNAcentral lists this long non-coding RNA (291 nucleotides) under Gossypium barbadense (sea-island cotton). Its description in RNAcentral is "long non-coding RNA (GBAR_LNC004241)". The record is from RNAcentral. Lineage: Eukaryota; Viridiplantae; Streptophyta; Magnoliopsida; Malvales; Malvaceae.
CAGAUUUGAGUUACUGCAGUAGUGUAACUUUGAAAAUACACUAAAAAUAGUGGAAAAUGAGUUAGAGGUAGAAUAAAAUAUGGUAUUAAAUCUUAAUGAGUCUAUAUUCAGAUGAAAGAAACAAGAGAAGAAAAAGAAUUCCAUAUUGUGUGAUAUUUGAAUUCUUGUGAAACAGGGUCUGAAUGAAUUCGAGAUCCCCUAUUCUGAAUUUAGAAAUUCACUAAAAAUUGUACAAAAAUUAUUAAGAGUCAUACCUUACAUGCAUGGAUUCCUUAUUGAGUCUAUUCUUAU